GUAGUUUAUAUAAUUUUAUUUUAAAUUUAUUUUACAUAUAAAUUUUUGUAUUAAUUUUAAAUUAUUUUAAUAAUAAAUUAUUUUAAGUAGUAAUUAAUAUUGAAUAUUUAAGAAAUUAAGAUUUAGUAAUAUUAAAAUUAUUAACUAAUUUUGUGCCAGCAGUUGCGGUUAUACAAAAAAUAAAAUGAAAUUUUUUAAUAUAUUAAUAAUAAAUUGAUAAUUUUUUUUAAAAAAAAAAUUUAAUUAAAAAUUUAAUUUAUUAAGUGAAAUUUUAAUUUAAAAAAAAAAUUAAAUUUAGUUAUGAUUUAAAUAAAAUUUGUUAUUAAACUAGGAUUAGAUACCCUAUUAUUCAAAAAUUAAUUUUUUUAUAUUAAAAUAGUAAUUAAUAAUUUAAUGAAACUUAAAAAAUUUGGCGGUAUUUUAGUUUAUUUAGAGGAAUCUGUUUAUUAAUUGAUAAUCCACGAUUAAAUUUACUUAAUUUAAUAAUUUGUAUAUCGUUGUUAAAAAAAUAUUUUUAAAAAAUUUUAAAUAUUUAAAAAUUAUAAAUUAAAUUAAAUCAGAUCAAGAUGCAGUUUAUAAUUAAGGUAAAAAUGGAUUACAAUAAAUUUAUAUAUAUAUUUAAAUGAAUAUUAAAUUGAAAAAUUUAAUUGAAAGUGGAUUUAAAUGUAAUUUUAUUUAUAUUAUUAAAAUGAUUAAUAAUUAAAAUAUGUACAUAUUGCCCGUCACUUUCAUUUAUAAAUUGAAAUAAGUCGUAACAAAGUAGAGAUAUUGGAAAAUGUUUCUAGAAAGAA
RNAcentral lists this non-coding RNA (791 nucleotides) under Eudarcia gwangneungensis. Lineage: Eukaryota; Metazoa; Arthropoda; Insecta; Lepidoptera; Meessiidae. The record is from RNAcentral.